UACGUAGGUGGCGAGCGUUAUCCGGAAUUAUUGGGCGUAAGGGGUGCGCAGGCGGUCAAAUAAGUUUAAGGUGAAGGCGUGAAGCUCAACUUCAUCGAGCCUUAGAUACUGUUUGACUAGAGUACUGGAGAGGGUAGUGGAAUUCCAUGUGUAGCGGUAAAAUGCGUAGAUAUAUGGAGGAACACCAGAGGCGAAGGCGGCUACCUAGACAGAGACUGACGCUGAGGCACGAAAGCGUGGGGAGCAAAUA
This 250-nucleotide ribosomal RNA is filed under the name uncultured prokaryote. RNAcentral describes it as "partial 16S ribosomal RNA". It matches the Rfam family "Bacterial small subunit ribosomal RNA", at positions 524 to 774 of the family's 1533-position model. The record is from RNAcentral.